AUGAACGCUGGCGGUGUGGAUAAGGCAUGCAAGUCACGGGGGUGCUGAAGCGCAAGCUGAAGUACAACCGGCGAACGAGUCAGUAACACCUUAGUACAUACCUCGAAGUAGGGCAUAGCUCGCCGAAAGGCGGGGUAAUUUCCUAUAGUCCCGCAAGGGUAAAGGCGCAAGCCGCUUUGAGAUUGGCUUAGGUCCGAUCAGCUUGUUGGUGAGGUAAUGGCUCACCAAGGCUAUGACCGGUAGGGGGGCUGAGAGGCCGAUCCCCGACGACGAGACUGAGACACGGCUCGUACACCUACGGGUGGCAGCAGUCGAGAAUAUUCCACAAUGGGCGAAAGCCUGAUGGAGCGACACCGCGUGGAGGAUGAAGGCCUUCGGGUUGUAAACUCCUUUUCUAUGGGAAGAAUCCGCCAAUUGGCGGAUGACGGUACCAUAGGAAUAAGAAGUUGCUAACUCUGU
Molecule: ribosomal RNA, 459 nt
Filed under: uncultured bacterium
Lineage: Bacteria
Description: bacterial SSU rRNA
Rfam family: Bacterial small subunit ribosomal RNA
Source: RNAcentral